Molecule: ribosomal RNA, 495 nt
Filed under: uncultured bacterium
Lineage: Bacteria
Description: partial 16S ribosomal RNA
Rfam family: Bacterial small subunit ribosomal RNA
Source: RNAcentral
GACGAACGCUGGCGGCGUGCCUAAUACAUGCAAGUAGAACGCUGAAGGAGGAGCUUGCUUCUCUGGAUGAGUUGCGAACGGGUGAGUAACGCGUAUGUAACCUGCCUGGUAGCGGGGGAUAACUCUUGGAAACGAUAGCUAAUACCGCAUAAGAGUAGAUGUUGCAUGACAUUUGCUUAAAAGGUGCAAUUGCAUCACUACCAGAUGGACCUGCGUUGUAUUAGCUAGUUGGUGGGGUAACGGCUCACCAAGGCGACGAUACAUAGCCGACCUGAGAGGGGGAACGGCCACACUGGGACUGAGACACGGGCCAGACCCCUACGGGAGGCAGCAGGAGGGGAUCUUCGGCAAUGGACGGAAGGCUGACCGAGCCACGCCGCGGGAGGUAAGAAGGUUCUCCGAUUGUAAAGCUCCGUUGUAAGGGAAGAACCAGUGUGAGAGUGAAAAGUUCACAUUGUGACGGUACCUUACCAGAAAGGGACGGCUAACUACGUG